CCUACGGGAGGCUGCAGUGAGGAAUAUUGGUCAAUGGGCGCGAGCCUGAACCAGCCAAGUCGCGUGAGGGAUGAAGGUUCUCUGGAUCGUAAACCUCUUUUAUAAGGGAAUACAGUGUGGGACGUGUCCUAUUUUGUAUGUACCUUAUGAAUAAGGAUCGGUGAACUCCGUGCCAGCAGCCGCGGUAAUACGCAGGAUCCGAGCGUUAUCCGUAUUUAUUGGGUUUAAAGGGUUGGUAGGCGGGUUGUUACGUCCGCGGUGAAAGUCUGUGGCUCAACCAUAGAAUUGCCGUUGAAACUGGGGGGCUGGAGUAUGGUUGAGGCAGGCGGAAUGCGUGGUGUAGCGGUGAAAUGCGUAGAUA
RNAcentral lists this ribosomal RNA (361 nucleotides) under uncultured bacterium. Its description in RNAcentral is "partial 16S ribosomal RNA". It matches the Rfam family "Bacterial small subunit ribosomal RNA", at positions 338 to 696 of the family's 1533-position model. The record is from RNAcentral.